GACCUGCGGAGGGAUCAUUACACAAAUAUGAAGGCGGGCUGGAACCUCUCGGGGUUACAGCCUUGCUGAAUUAUUCACCCUUGUCUUUUGCGUACUUCUUGUUUCCUUGGUGGGUUCGCCCACCACUAGGACAAACAUAAACCUUUUGUAAUUGCAAUCAGCGUCAGUAACAAAUUAAUAAUUACAACUUUCAACAACGGAUCUCUUGGUUCUGGCAUCGAUGAAGAACGCAGCGAAAUGCGAUAAGUAGUGUGAAUUGCAGAAUUCAGUGAAUCAUCGAAUCUUUGAACGCACAUUGCGCCCUUUGGUAUUCCAAAGGGCAUGCCUGUUCGAGCGUCAUUUGUACCCUCAAGCUUUGCUUGGUGUUGGGCGUCUUGUCUCUAGCUUUGCUGGAGACUCGCCUUAAAGUAAUUGGCAGCCGGCCUACUGGUUUCGGAGCGCAGCACAAGUCGCACUCUCUAUCAGCAAAGGUCUAGCAUCCACUAAGCCUUUUUUUCAACUUUUGACCUCGGAUCAGGUAGGGAUACCCGCUGAACUUAAGCAUAUCAUA
This 550-nucleotide ribosomal RNA is filed under the name fungal sp. Its description in RNAcentral is "eukaryotic LSU rRNA". The stretch from base 186 to 339 matches the Rfam family "5.8S ribosomal RNA". The record is from RNAcentral. Lineage: Eukaryota; Fungi.